CCGUAGCCCAAGAGAUCGGGAUAACACCUGGAAACAGAUGCUAAUACCGGAUAACAACAGAUGAUGCCUAUCAACUGUUUAAAAGAUGGUUCUGCUAUCACUCUUGGAUGGACCUGCGGUGCAUUAGCUAGUUGGUAGGGUAACGGCCUACCAAGGCGAUGAUGCAUAGCCGAGUUGAGAGACUGAUCGGCCACAUUGGGACUGAGACACGGCCCAAACUCCUACGGGAGGCAGCAGNA
This 239-nucleotide ribosomal RNA is filed under the name uncultured Lactobacillus sp. RNAcentral's name for it is "partial 16S ribosomal RNA". It matches the Rfam family "Bacterial small subunit ribosomal RNA", at positions 125 to 354 of the family's 1533-position model. Lineage: Bacteria; Bacillati; Bacillota; Bacilli; Lactobacillales; Lactobacillaceae. The record is from RNAcentral.